This 1143-nucleotide long non-coding RNA is filed under the name Nicotiana benthamiana. RNAcentral's name for it is "long non-coding RNA (NBEN_LNC042046)". The record is from RNAcentral. Lineage: Eukaryota; Viridiplantae; Streptophyta; Magnoliopsida; Solanales; Solanaceae.
AAUGACAGAGAAGAAAAUAUCAGAUUGCAUAUUGAUCAUAUUGAUCAUAUUGUUUUAACAAGUUCCAAGCCAAUUCCCUCGUUCACCACUCCGUUCCAUUUCGCGCUAGUACAUGACUACUUUUGCCUUGUUAGUGCCCUAAAGGGCUAAAUUCAUGCUUGAUCCUUGAAAAUUGUUGAAGUUGGGUGCUGGUGUUAUGAUUAACUAUAAUUCCCAUUGAUAUUGGGAGGGUACUCCAUUAUCUUUGCUGGAAUGUUCUGAAUGAAGUGCCAUGCCUGCGAAAUGUUUGAUUGAUUGCCGCAGUGACCUUUGGCUUGUCGGGUGAAGUCUGAGUAGCCUACUCAUAAGUUUUGAUUGAACUUGUCUGUAGUGUAAGAGUAUUGGUGGGGCUUGCUCAUGGUCACCUUACUUAGUCAUAUGUUAGUGUCUCGUGUUUGUGCUUCUAGAGUUGACUGCUUGUUACGUGUGUCCUAGUAAUCUAAGUGCUGCUUUGCUCUCUGCUUAUUCUUUUGAGACAACAGUUCAGAACAUUUUGUUGGUGCUGGAUCUUAGGUUGUGAUUUGAAACGGUGUCGCUCUCGUUUGAGCUCCUACCUUGGAAAUAUAGUGUUGUGAGUGUGUCCUUCAUACCUGACUGCCAUUUCCUUGAUAUAUAUAUACACACACACAUGUUUGAUAUGCUUAAUUACAUACGUGCGAGGUGGCGCUUGUUGAAUCAAGUAGGAAGCUUGUGGUAGUUUGUGUUAUGGUUAAGUUAUAUUACCUGCCAUUAAGUAUUUUUUUUUUGCUGUUUUAGGUAUUUCACUGCUUGAUACGGUUAAAAAUUGAUUGGAUAGGAAGAAGGUUGAAUACUCGUCAAUCUUAUUUAUCUUAACUUGCAUGUGUAAAUAAUCAUGUGCUAUGGCUCCACUGUCCAUGCAAUAAUGUUUACUAUCCUUAAGUUGGUGCAAAUGAAUUUGUUAAUAUAUGAUAGAGCCGUGUUUGUCUAGAAGAGGGAAGUCUGAGUACCGCUUGACAGAAUUUUACUCCAGCUGAUUUAUGGUUGUUAGUGCUCUUAUGUGCUUGAUCUUGUGCUUUUCUGUGUAAUUACUAGAGUAGUUUGGGACUCGAAAAUCAAUUACUGUCAUAUGUGCUUAAGUGCGUG